This 67-nucleotide transfer RNA is filed under the name Marmota monax (woodchuck). RNAcentral describes it as "tRNA.Ala". Lineage: Eukaryota; Metazoa; Chordata; Mammalia; Rodentia; Sciuridae. The record is from RNAcentral.
GGUUGUGGCUCAGUGGUGGAGUGCUUGCCUAGCAUGUGUGAGGCCCUGGGUUCAAUCCUCAGUACCA